RNAcentral lists this ribosomal RNA (477 nucleotides) under uncultured bacterium. RNAcentral's name for it is "partial 16S ribosomal RNA". It matches the Rfam family "Bacterial small subunit ribosomal RNA", at positions 30 to 507 of the family's 1533-position model. The record is from RNAcentral.
AUUGAACGCUGGCGGCAUGCCUUACACAUGCAAGUCGAACGGUAACAGGUUAAGCUGACGAGUGGCGAACGGGUGAGUAAUGUAUCGGAACGUGCCCAGUCGUGGGGGAUAACUGCUCGAAAGAGCAGCUAAUACCGCAUACGACCUGAGGGUGAAAGCGGGGGAUCGCAAGACCUCGCGCGAUUGGAGCGGCCGAUAUCAGAUUAGGUAGUUGGUGAGGUAAAGGCUCACCAAGCCGACGAUCUGUAGCUGGUCUGAGAGGACGACCAGCCACACUGGGUCUGAGACACGGCCCAGACUCCUACGGGAGGCAGCAGUGGGGAAUUUUGGACAAUGGGCGCAAGCCUGAUCCAGCCAUGCCGCGUGCGGGAAGAAGGCCUUCGGGUUGUAAACCGCUUUUGUCAGGGAAGAAAAGGUUCUGGCUAAUACCUGGGACUCAUGACGGUACCUGAAGAAUAAGCACCGGCUAACUACGUG